Molecule: microRNA precursor, 130 nt
Filed under: Pelobates cultripes (western spadefoot toad)
Lineage: Eukaryota; Metazoa; Chordata; Amphibia; Anura; Pelobatidae
Source: RNAcentral
GUGAGGGAGGAAGGGGGUGACUAGCGACAGAGUGAGGGAGGGAGGGGGUCACUAGUGACAGAGUGAGGGUGACUGUCACUAGUCACCCCCUCCCUCACUCUGUCACUAGUCACCCCUUCCUUCCCUUACU